Molecule: ribosomal RNA, 360 nt
Filed under: Rissoa parva
Lineage: Eukaryota; Metazoa; Mollusca; Gastropoda; Littorinimorpha; Rissoidae
Description: partial 12S ribosomal RNA
Source: RNAcentral
UUUUAACUGUAAAGACUUUUUACCUGGGCACUACGGAUAUUUAAAUCUAAAACCCAAAGAGCUUGGCGGUGUUUUAGACCACUCAGGGGAACUUGUUUUAUAAUCGAUAACCCACGUAAAACCUCACUUUUUCUCGUAUUUAGUAUGUAUACCGUCGUCGUCAGUUAACUUUUAAAAAGAUAAAAUUUAGCAAGAUAUUUAUUAAAUAAAACGUCAGAUCAAGGUGCAACAAAUGGAAAAGUAAAAAUGAGUUACAAUUAGAUAAUCUAAAACAAUUUUGUUCUUUAAUAAGACCAAUUAAGGCGGACUUGAAAGUAAUUAUAUAGAUAUAAAUUUUUUGAAUCAGGCUCUAAAACAUGC